Molecule: long non-coding RNA, 16570 nt
Organism: Meriones unguiculatus (Mongolian gerbil)
Lineage: Eukaryota; Metazoa; Chordata; Mammalia; Rodentia; Muridae
Exons: 3
Source: RefSeq, a predicted model, not a curated record
UACGCCUAUCUACUUGCCCUUUCAAAUGAGGACAUGAGGCAGGGAGUUGUUUGGCAGUAUUUACAAAGCUGCAGUGGAAUUAAGCACCGAGCCCAGGUGCUUGGCCAUAGAGCAGAGACUCAUUCACUGCCUCAGUUUCCCUGCUAGGGCGGCAGCCUAUGGACUGAUCAAGCUUUUGUCUGGACAAGGAGCCUGGGGAAAUAAUCCCCAGAGUGCCCGGCACUGGCCUGCUUUCAGCUGCGGAGAGGAGCAGGUAGGAGGAGGGGUGCCAGGGGGAGGGUGCCGCUCUCAGUCAGCACUUGGCACCAGCAAAAGUUGAGUCACUGAGGAUUUCCUGCACAGCCACCGAAGAAUAACGUGGAAGAGACGUUUUCUGAAUCUAUUUUGAAUGUGGGGAAGGAGGUCCUCUGCUCAGAAGCGCUUGGCAUCGCAUGCUUGGAUCUUGAACUCUGAUCUCUGAAUUAUUAUCUAGAUGACUUGAAUCUAGUCUGUCAUCCCCCUGCCUCUGCAUGUUUCCCCGUGGUGUGGAGGUGAACAUUCUCUGACGGGAGAGUGCAGUGGGUUCGUUACAGCAGGAUGAACUCACAGUCACAUCUGGGCACACAGAGAACACAGAAUGAAUGCUUUCCCGGACGACUUCAAGGCAACAAUGGUUAUUCUCGAUAUGAUACACUGUGAUCUUUUUAAAAUAGGAGUAAAGUCAUCAAGCAGCUUACACGUUUAUUCAGAAGGAACAUAUUGAGGUCGUGUUGAAGCCUGUGCUGGCACGGUGGGUGUUGUGAGGAAAACAGAGGCUCUCAGGAACGUGAUGUUGUCCAGAAGAGAGAGGUGGAGAGGGGGCCUCAACAUAAAUCAGCACAGACUCUGGCUACGAAGCUGUGCGAGAAGAAGCUAGACCCCAUCGCUUCAGAGGCCCCUGUUGUCUCUGUCACUCCUCAGCUGUGGCACUGCUGGCUCACCCACCGUGUGCAGCCAGCAUGGCCGGCAGGUGAAGGGGUCAGGCCGGAGCCUCCAUCUGCCCGUGUCCUUAGCCCAGGCCUUUCUAUUGCACCUCCAUAAUUUCAGCCUGUGGAGUUUGUGGCCUUUGGUUUGGAUGUUGGAAGUUUCCAAGAAUGGUUAUAAUCAAGGAGGGGCGGAAAUAGGAAAAAUUGUGAAGAGAUGUUUAGAAAAUGGGAGGGAGAAAGUCCUCAAAGGAAACCCAGAUAAUUUGGGGUGAAGAUUAGAGAGCUAAGAUUGAGAGAAGAUGGGGGUCACAUGGAGGCUUUCUCAUGAACACGGUGUUCGGGGGUGCCAUGGGAGCACCAGGCAGAGAGGAGCACCAGUGUCCUCCAAGACUCAGAAGGAGGGUUCUGCUCAGUGUCCCCCACCUACCCAGGCAGGGGAGGGGCAGAAAGGCAUCUGCAUAUCCCAACCCAAGGUAAACAGAGAGCCAGAGAGCCCAUUAAAGCAGAAACAGAUGAGGAUAAUUAGAAGGGAAUGCUCCCAAGGCUAGGAGGAGGCAGUGAGACUCAAACAAAGGGCGGGCUAUUUCUGUCCAUCUCUUGAUGUCUGGAAAUGCAGUCGUUUUGGUCCAGACCAGGCUACCACACCCUGAGUAAGACAAACUUUCUCAUCACUGGCCCUUGCUUGGUCCCUAUGGCAUCUCCUGGGUUCUGUUCACAGUGCCCCAAACAGAUGCUCAGGAGAACAGCUCCAGUUGCAAGUUCUGCAAAGGCCUCAGACGGGAUUUCACCUUGACAACUUACCCUCCUGCAGGAGCUUGUUCCUGCCUCCGGAUUCACCUUUAUAGUCCAGCAGUGCCAGGUCUCCUUAGUGACCUCAACCAGAAAAGAUCCCCAGAAGAUGGGCACAGGCAUGCACACCUCUCAUUCCAGCUCCCGGGAGGCUGAGGCAGCUCACAAGCAGCCUGGGCUACAUAGAGAGGUAAUGCCAGCCUGAGAUACAUAGAGAGGUAAAGCCAGCCUGAACUACAGAGUAAGACUCUCUCUCGAUAGCUAAUAAUAAAAACUAGCUCAGAUUUUCUCAAAGAAAUGCCUCCUUUGCCAGUUGCCCGUGUCUGCCUUAUCUUUCCCUUCUCUUUCAGCCUGUCAGGUGAGUUGGUUUGUACUGAAGGGACAUGUCUCCACUGUGGAAGGGAAAGGACAUCCAGCAGAACCCAGGGGCCCUCUCAGCCAGUGUCCUGCAGCUGACAGGGCUACGUUCCUCAGCACCGACUGAGGAGGAAGUCAACUGCAUCCUUCAUGAGAGAGGAAAGGGCCAGAAAAAGUAGGGAGCCCAAAAACCUUCCAAAAAGAGGGAUGAAAAGGCAAGAAAAAUAACCUUUGUCUUUCUUUGUUUUGGGGUUUGGAGAAGUUGGUCUUAAGGAAUUGCACCUAAAGUGUUCGAAUGAAAAAGGUGGUGGCCAUUAAAGCAGACAGUUCUGCCCAUCUUUUGGAUUCACCUGGGUCUGUGGUCCUUUGACCUUCGGGAUGUGAUUUCAUGAGCCGUGACUGAGAAGUGACAAUUGCCAAAUUUGGCUUUACAUGAAGGCCCUCAUCAAAUGGAACUUUCCCUAUGUAGCUCCAAAGCCUUGACGUGAUGCUGCUGUAAACCGCUGACAUGUUCUCACAGAGUUUGGCAUCCUUCCUUCAGAUGAGUCCCAGCGCCAGGGCACUGCAGGUCGUGACCGAGGCUCUCUUGGCUGUGCUGCCUGUUGGAAACUUCUUGGGUGUUCGAUCCGGCUUGGAGCAAAGGUGCUACAAAUUUCUACACGGUGUUUGCUCAGUGUUUACCCAGGGCUCUGGAAGAGUAAGUCAUAGUCAUGGGCCAAAGGAAGGGACAUAUGCUGCAACCCGACAAUACGUUGUCCUUUUCAACUUCUUUCCGUAUCUUGCUGUGCCACACUGCCCUGGGCAAGCGCUGGAAGCUGCCCUAAGCCUUCUUCCACUUGUAAGGAAAGGCAAUGGUGACGCCUUGCUCGUCUCACUGAGAAGGAACAGACCAUGGCACUCAGUCAGGAGCUCCACAUGAUGGAUGCCCCAUCGCAACUCUGCUCUAGUAGUUAGUUCUGAGACAAACGAAGGAGACACCAUCAGCCAUCUCUUUUUUCUACCGUAGGAAGGAGCAAUGAGGGGGUAGUCUCAUGCAACCCAGGCUGGCCUCCAGCUCACCAUGUCGCCAAGGCUGGCCUUGAGCUCCUGUUCCUCGGCUUUUGUCUCCUGAACACUGGGAUUGCAGGCGUUAGGUUCUGUACCCAGCAGAAAUAAUGGAGGGAAUUUCCUUUGUUGUUAUUUUAUUUUAUUUAGUUUUGGUGUGUUAAGACAGGGUCUUGUGUAGCCCAGGCUGUCCUAUGACUCAUGCAUCCUUAACCCCUGCUCCUCCUGCUUCAGGCGCCUGCGUCAUGCCCAGCCUUAACGGAAGAGGCUCAGCAGGCACCCGAGGCUAGAUUUCACUGUCUCUUCUUAGCCACCCCUUGUUCUAUUCUUUCUGGAUGCAAGUACUGUGGAGACUAGAAGAAUGAGGUUGGAAGCCACCAGUCAUCCAUUCUGCCUCUGCACCCUGUUGUGCCUCCUACACACACCCUUCAACUUUGACCUAUGGCCUCUGCCUCUGGCAUUGACAAAUAACAUGCUUUAUGGAAACUUUUACUCUUUAUUUAUAUCUUGAUAUUAGCAGGUUUGGACUUCUAAGCACAAGAGGUGGGAAACUCUCUCCCCUGUCCUUCUCCUCCCCCUCUUGCCCUUGCUAUCUCUCUUCUCUCCCUCCCUCCUUUCUUCUCACCCCUCUUCUCUUCCUCUCCUCCCUUAUUCUCUCUCCCUCCUUCCCUACCCUCUCCUCUCUCUCUCCUUCUUUUUCUAUCCUUCCCUUCCUCUCCUAUUCUUCCUCUCUCUUCCUCUCUCUCCCUUCCUCCCUCCUCACUCCCCCUUCUCAUUUCCCCAGGGAAUUGCUUUCUUUUUAGAGUUUCCCAGACUCUUCUGAACGUUAUGAUAUACUGUGAUUACGUUUCCUUCGUUGCACAACUUUUGGGUUUUGCUAAGGAGGAACACAUGGUUUUGGUUUGGUGGGCCUCUCACAGAUGAGGGGUCACAGACGGCACGAGCUUAUUUCUCACAGUUCUGGAGGUUGCAAGGUCCAGAUGUGAGUUCCUCAGACAAGGGCAUCUUCUGAGCGGUCAGCUCCUGUCUGCCCCUGGGCAUCCUUUGAGUUGGGGACACUUACCUCACUCACGGAGGCGUCACGAAGGAGCCCUGAGCGUGCAUGAUCUGGUGUGCGGUCCCCGCUCACUCACUGUUGACUUUCCCAGCUUCCUUCCCCCACACUCACCUGUAGUUCAAACAUACUAACCUAAAAUUUCGGCAACAAGCAAGUGUGCCUUUGAGAUUGUAAAGCCUUCUGAGGGGCAUGAGGAAGGCUCCCGUGGCCCUGCUGAGUCGCAGAUGUGACUCACACUCAGUUCAUGCUUGCUGAGUUACCCACGCAUCACUCAGAGUCAUGUGACACCCAGACCAGAUCCGCUACAAUGACGAAGCAGUGCUGUGCUCGGACACGUGGCAUUCCUGGUCGUGCAGUGUGCCCCUAGGAAGGUGUGAGGUAUGCACAGGGCAGGGAAGGGUGAGUGUUCAGAGCGCACGGGCUCCCCUGGGGACCAACAUCUCACCCACGAGCUUUCUGCCAGCGUGGUCCCAGCCACGUGAGCUGCUGGGAUGGCGAAGGGCAGAAGGGACCUUCCUGGAGAGGGCACUCUGUCACGGGGGCACUCUUUGUCACGGCUGGCACAUUGGUGUCACCAUGUACCGUGAGGCUGUGGGCUGGGCUACCCCACAUUUCACAGGACUCUGAAGCCUCCUGUGGUGCCCCUUGGGGGCUGGAACUGAGACCUCAUACCACUGUGGCCGUAUUUCAUCCUCUCUCUAGAGGCCUUGCUAGUCAGGCCUGAGAGUCCAUCAUGGCCUCCCUGGCUCUGGGUCGUUUUUAUCCAUAGUGACUGAAAUCUGCAUCUGUAAAAGAAAAAGUCGUAUCUUCUUUAUGGGAACUUUUCUUUAUUGUUGGGCAUUUUCUGCAAUUUCUGGGGCUUCUUUGGACUUGUCUAUUACUGAGGCUGAACCUCUGUGCUUCACCCAGCGUCCUUAUUUCCCACCACUCUGUCUUUCUGUACUAUUAAGUUAUGUAACUUCUACUAAAAUGUUAAUUUAUUCUAUUCAUGUAUUUCUCUUCUGUCUGGAUGAACUCUUUCUUUUGGGUUUGUUUUGACUCUCACUGUUCUGCUGAGACUUCCCUUCAGCUGCAUCUCCUCAUGGCCACAGUCUUAUGGAAGUGCAGUAUGUUUGCAAGCAGUGAAUGUGUAAAUAUAUUAGAAAGCCCUCAUGUGAAGGAUGGGGACGCAGCUCAGAAUGAAGGCCUAUAUUUUUGUCUCUAUCCCUGGCAUCCCUGGCUUCCUUCAGUCUAAGCGUCUGUCUUUUCUGUAAUUAAUAGUCUAGUCUUACCCAAGCUUUAAGAGAGCUGGUCACCGGAUGCCGUGACUACAGAGGAGCCAGGAACAUGCGUCUCCUAAAGGGAUUUUGACUGAGAUUGACCAGCCCCAUCCUUCCCUCCCUGUGCCCUCUAUCUCUUGAGAUAAGUUCUGAGUGUACAGCCCAGGCUGGCUUCACGCCUGUGAUAAUCCUCCUGUCUCUGCCUCCUGAUUGCAGGACUGCAGUGGUGGCCACCACGUCUGCUGUGAUCUGCACCAUCUUACUUUCUCAUCAACUGUUUGCACACAGCUUCCUCUAAAGCAGGGUUCUCAACCUGUGGGUUGGUCCCCUUGGGAGGCAAAUGCCUCUUUCACAGGGAUCGCCUUAGACGGUCGGAAAACACAGAUACGCUCAUCAUGAUUCAUAACAGCAGCAAAAUUAGUUAUGAAGUAGCAACAAACUUAUGGUUGGCGUCCUCACAACAUGAGGAACAGUGUUAAAGGGUCUCAGUGAGAGGAGGGUCAGAACCCUGCUCUAAAGGAUGCCGUGUCUCUAAUUCCAGUUUGUUUGUUUGUUUUCCUCUUUGGUUCUGCAGUGUACUAGUUUUUUCUCUGUUCCUAUGAUAAAAUACCAAAGCCAAAAGCAACUUAGAGGAGAAAGGGUUUAUUUGGCUCAUGCUUGUGGAAGAAUAGAGUCUACCGUGGCAGCUCAGGGAAGCACCAUCCUCACCCACAUGCGGGAGGCAGAGGGAGCAAGCGGGAACUGUGGUGAGGCUAUAAGUGCUCAAAGCCCACCCCAGUGGUGGUGUACCUCUGUCAACAAGGCUUUUCCCCUGAAAGGUCCUACAACCUCCACAAACAGUGGUACCAGCCUGGGACCAAGUUAAGAUCCAUGAGCCUGUGGAAGAACAGGGCUCUUUCAAACCCAUGCGGGGCGUGGCUAGAUUGCCUGCUUACACGGCUGUCUGCAGCCAUUUGGGUUGUCUUUCCCUAUUGCCAGUGACAUAGCAUACUUGUUUCCUUUUUAAAUGUGACAGCUGUUUCUUGGUCCCCUCUUACAGUUUACGUUCCAGGGGAUGAGGCACUAUGAGUAAUAACAUGACAUGAAUACGUGAGGAGGAUGACUUAGGAUUUUCCCACCAGGAAGGUUGGUGGGAGGGCGCCACUGCGACUUGAGAGAGAAUGAGCAUUUAUACAACAGUCCAUCAGAACUGGUUGGGGGAUGCACAGAGCCUGUAUCCCAGAGCGAGGGCAUCCGCGCAGAAAGAACAGAGAUCAUGAACACGACAUCAGCUUGCAUCUGGGCUGGAGGCAGGUGAGCCAGAGGACGGAGCUGGCAGCGGUUUGCAUAGGGUCUGAGGGGCCAUGACAAGGACAGGAAGUUUUCACAUGAGACAGCAGGAAGAGGUAUGGUCGGCUGACUCUCCUCAGCUGCUCGUCUUGCUCUUGCUCUUGCUUGUGGUCCUUGUGGGCUUUGAUCCCGUCACGGUAAUGUUGGUCGGUUUUGGAUAUGAUGUGCAGAUAAAACCAAUAAUCAAAUUAGCUGCACCUGAGCGGGCAUUUCAGCCUGCUUCUGUCGAGGUCUCUCUGGAGAGGAGGGCAGAACCCCUCCUCUUCGUGAACCGGGCGUCCAGCAGGCUAGAUGGGCAGUGCAGCGCUGGCUUAUGUCCCUGCCCUUUAGCCUUUCAAGCACUUGAGUGAGCAGAGAGAGUUGAUCUGAGCAGGAAGUGUGGAUCACCACACCGGGUCUAAGUACUGACCUUCCCACCGUGGGUCUUGACAGUCCUUCCGCUCUCCGCGGCCCAGUCACGCACCGAGUCUUAGGCCUUGUAUCUUAUUGCUUUAUUGCCUUAUGUGUAGGGCGCAUCAGGCUGAUUAAACAAAGCUCUAUAGGCUGGGUCAGUUACAAGUGCAGUUCAUUUCUAGAGUUCUAAAGUCCAAGACCGAGGUGUCUGUGGACUGGGAGCCUGCAGCGCCUGCGAAUCCUGGCCAGAGCUGAGCCUCCCACUCCUUCUUUACAGGGUAGAGGAGGGCGGGGCACCACGCUCACAGUAGUGUUCGUGAGUGUUCUGACCUCACGGUCCAGUUCUGUGCUAAAGGCCACGUUCAAGUACCAUCCUUUUCAUGUUCUCAGUCUUUGGGUUUUGGUGUGGGGUGUACAGAUUUUCAGAAUCGAGCAAAGAGCUACAGUCCUUAAAGGGUUAGGGACUGUGCCUCCUGAGAUUACUAAACUCUGAAGUUUACUAAAACCAAAUGUUCUAACAGUCACUGUAGCUGUGCACAUGGAGCAGCUUCUGGAUAAGCAUGAAGAGCCCAGGCGUAGCAUUCAUUUUACUAUGGUCCUUGCGAGACACACGGGUUCAUAUCAUCAUGUCACGCUGCUGUGAAGCUUUCUGAGGAGCGGUAGAAGCCAGAGAGUAGGCCCAGCAGUUAGUAACAGGCACUGCUCUUGCAAAGGACCCAGGCUGGAUUCCAGCACCCUCACUGAAAGAUUCACAACUGCUUGUGACUUCAGCUCCAGAGGAUCUGAGGCCUCUGGCCUUUACAGCACCUCCACUCACACACACACACACACACACACACACACACACACACACACACACCAGGACAUGAUAUCUACAUUUGCCUCUGUAGCUGCAGUUAUAGCCACAGCCACACCUAUAUCUGUCUGUCUGUCUGUCUAUCACCAUUUACAUCUAUCUACCAUCUGUCCAUCUCUAUUAUCUAUCAAUCUCUAUGUAUGUAUCUACCUAUCUGUCUAUCUACCUACCUAUAUACCAGUCUAUCAUUGUUAAAGCCUUAUGAAGCAUCAGACCCUACAGCAAAACAGUGAAUGCUUGAAUUACAUUUAAUUUCUUAACUAACUUUUUAAAGUUUUUUACUUUUUUUUUUUGACAAUUUCACACAUCCACAAAGCGCAUUCUGGUCGCUGUCUACUUACCAGCACUCCCGCCGUUUCUAAUCUCCCCUCCCUCCUUAUUACCCCCACCGCCCUCCUCUCCUGCCGUUUCUAAUCUCCCCUCCCUCCUUAUCACACCCACCGCCCUCCCUGCACAUCUUGCACCCACAUUCAUGUCUUUUUUCUUUCUUUUUUAAAUCCACGGAAUUUAAGCAGCAGCAUCUUUGUGACCUGGGUUUGGAAUUAUCGGUUGGUGCCCGGUGAUCUCCUCAGUCAGUCCAUGACCGAGGCCAAUGACUGCCCUCCCUCAGAAUCCAGCAGUAGCCGUUCAUUCAGAGAUGAACAGAGACUCAUGAGCCCCUUCCUGACCGCUGACUGACAGUCCCAGCGCAGACCCCUGCAGGCAGCCACAGCCACCGGGACGUGACGACCAUUUCCACAGCCCCUUUUCCUAUUUUCUGGCUUACAUCCUUUUCAGGCCCUGUCCCAAGGUAACCCUCGAGCUUUAGAGAUGGUGGUCUAAAAGUCGGCAGUAAGGCUGAGCACCCAGGUUCCUCCUCUUCUCAGCCCCUUGAGCAGCAGUGGGCCUGUGUGGUUUCACUGUCAUUGCAAAGAGAAGCUUCUCAGACAAAGGCUUGGUGUAGCUAUAAAGACAAAUAUUUAAAAGGCAGCUUUUUUUGACCAAGUUUACUACCAAGCAUGAAUUUCCCCUUUAGGAGAAGGCUUCACAUCCAACCUAAUUCUGUUUUCGGGACAGCAUCUAGUUACGUAGCUUAAGCUGGUCUGGAAGUCACUGUAAGUAGACCAAGCUGGUCUCAGCCUCCCAGCAGCCGCCUUGGUUUAGACUUCCAAGUGAGCUGCUACUCCUGACUCUCCCCAUUAUUAAUUAAAGAAGCACUCACCUAAGUGAUAGGUCAUUCACACACAGAGUAUUUGCAAAGGGUGUAAGUGUCCCGUGUGUCUGCUGUUGUGCUGUCUGGUUGGAGCAGGCUGAUUCAGAUUUUGUUCAAACAGUAGCGUGAUGACAGAUUCCAAGUAUUUCUAGGUACAUUUUCUUUGCUCCCUUGUGAGAAAAUACGCUCACAAACACAGAGUGCAUCAAGAGACAGACACAUUACUGUGUAAGCACUAUGAGCUCCAUGACCCAGCCAUCAGGUGGCGUUCUGUGUUCCUGCUCACAUUUAGAGAGCACAGUCUGUUACACACAGUCUUCACAUGAACAUCAUGGAACAACAAAUGAAUAAAUGAACGAGAAUGAAAAUGCUCUCAACAGCGCCCUGUGCAGAGACCUAAGAUAACUAACAGGCACGUGUGAUCUGAAGCUUUUCCUGGUUGUGUGACUAUAUCUAAAAUAAUCAUUAUCAGAGUGAGAACAGACUGAAGAGCUCUGCAGUUUGCGUUUAUUCACUGAAAACAUUUUAGGGAGCUUCUUCUUAGAAUGGUUAAUACAUGCUCAGUAGUAUAUGAGCAUGUGUGGUUUGUAACAUAAAAUGAGGGAUAAAAAGAUCAAAAUGUGGGCAGGGGAGGUUGUAAAUGGUGCCGUGGUGAUUCUAGAAUGGAGAGGUGGGGAGGGAGGAGGACGAGCCUAUGUGUCCCCAUCUCAAAACGGUGAUUUGCCUACGCAAGAGAGCUGGAGUGAGGCUAAAGGAAGAGCCCCUGCUUCCCCUCCCCUGCUAACUGCUCUCUUCCAUUCUCUUUCCAGGCCAAGAGUCAUGGCUUCAGUUUCCUUUUCUUUUUAGAAAAAUAAUUUAUAUAUGAAUAUGAACAAAGAAAAAUAUUCAGAAAAGAAUUAACUGUAAUUAUCAUUAUAUAGAAUAGUCUAGUGAUUUUUAUACUUUUUAUUUGUUGGAAUUUCUGUUAGUAAAGAACAUCAUUUUCAGUUUAAAAAUCAAAUGAACAAGACAGUUUGUAGCCGGGGAAAUCAGCUCUUUGCAGGUCAGUCUGUGGUUGCAGGCAAAGGCAGCUGAGAUGGUCCACAGGAGGAAGCAGGGACUGCGGGCAUGGACUAGUGGGAGAAGGACUUCCGGCACAGGAAAGCAACGUGAGAUCAGCAAGGGAAAAUAAAGGACUUAGGAGAGGAGUGUGACUAAGCAACAGAGCCUCACAACUCCCUGUCAGACAUCCUGCCUUUUCCUGCCACAGAGCAAAGGCCUGAGCUAAGUCAGUAAGAGCCUGUUAAAUGGCUUUUUUCUUUUCCGUUAUAAAUUCCAAAUGAUAGCUUACUUAAUAUUCCUGUUCAGAAUUGGUAAUCUGAGGAUAUAAGUGGAAAUAUUAGUGGAAAGGUUUUUUUUUUUUUUUUUAAUCAUUUGCUGUGAUUCAAAAAUCACACAGGAAUGCUCUCUUACACUGCCUUCGGUGUCCUGUGCAUUUGAUGGCGACUUUGGCUUACGGUGGGCAGAGUUUGGCUAUGGACAUGCUUGCGGCUUUGGUUUCAAUAGAAUUAAUGGGUAAUAUCACCCUUUUCUCCAUAUAAGAAGAGAAAAGUUAUCAGGGAGGCUAUGAGCGAUUACUGGAGACGGGGAGAGAAAGGCUCAGACAGCUGGAUUCAGGAAGCAGCGAUGAGGUCGAGCACGCCGAGGCUGGGCCGGCUCCUGCUUGUCCAGCAUCUCCAUUCCUGUCCCUGACUCAGAGGAUGUCUCGGGGGUUCGCUGUCCUUUCAACUACUGUGCAGAGAGGAAAAUGCUCUUCCUAAUUUCGGUGGAAAACUAGUUUUUAAAUCGAUCUUAAUCUGCACUUUCUUCAUCGUCAGCCUUCCCUGUUUCCCCGAGGGCUGGCCGGACGCUUCCGCUUCCGGUGGGCACAGCACCACCCAUCUGGAGCCCACCGCUCCGCUCCAGGAGCCUCCGGAAGCCCCAUCGCUCCUUUGUCAACGGGUUUCUCUCCUCCUUCCUCGCUUUAUUUACUUUCGCAUGAGCUCACAAAUACCUUUCCUACUUAGAAGCUCACUUGACCCCGCGCCGCUCCCCCACAGCCUCCGCCCCCGGCUGAGGUCAUGCGUUUCUGAACAUGACCACGCGGUCUAGACUUAAGGUUGAGCUGUGUAUUGUCACGUACAGUGUCUCACACCACCAGCGGCUAGCGUGUACCUGCAGGCCCACCAAGGUUGAGCAAGGGAGAUGGUGAUGCACAGUCCAUGCUUGCUCAGUGGACAGAACUGACCCCGAAGGGUGAAAGACAGUUCACUCUUCCAGGUGUUUGCAGUGAGAGAGCUCGCUGGCAGGAGCCAGACCUCAGCUCUCAUAACCAGCAACAGCAGGCAGGGCUCCCCCCUGCUAGUGACCAGGUUCUUUGGUUGUUCUGAACAGCCAUUUCUCCUGUUAAGAAAGCAUUUUGGUUUUCUAGUUGUCAUUUUAUUAUAUAAUUCUCUGAGAAGUAGUUUUUAAGGGAUUUUUAAAAAUAACUGUAGGGGCAGGAAAGAUGACUCAAGUUACGAGCACUUGCUGCUGUCCCAGAGGACCUUGGUUCAGUCUCCAACCCUCCUGUCAGGGCUCACAACCGCUUGCAACUUCAGCUUCAAGGGAAUCCGAUGCCCUCUUCGAGCUUCUGUGGGCUCCUGCACAUACAUGGCACAUGCAUGCACGCACACGCACGCACGCACGCGCGCACACACACACAUGAACGAUAGGUAGAUGAUAGAUAGAUGGUAGAUAGAUGAUAGAGAGAUGGAUGGAUAGAUGGAUGGAGGGAUAGAUAGAGAGACACUAAUGGAGGCAUAUCCUCCAUCAUCAUGGCUGACGGCCACCAUGAAAGUGUUCAGGAGUGUGAGGUGUGGGAGUCUGAGUGAAGUUUCCAUGGUACACAGGACUAUAAACUUUAAAGGCAAACAAAUUAGCCUGUCCCCGAACUCGAGGCUCCUCUGAAUCACUGUUCAGGAAGCCUUCGAGAAAGUGAGCCAGGGCGAGCAGGGAGGUAAGCUUUGUAAGGAGGAGGUAGCCAGAAAGGAGCCAGUUGUCUUAAGUGUGGUAAGUGCAAAGAUGGGGACCAGGGGUCCAGGAGGAACCGGAGGUGGGAAAGCACUUGGACAGGAGAGCUGGGAGGAGGCUGCAGCAACAGGAACAGUGUGAGGAGGGCAGAGCAUUGCUGAGGGGUGGCUCCCCGUGUGGCUCUGGGCUCAUCUGGAGCUGAGACUAACUGGAGAGGCAAGUACCUAAGGAAAGUGACUACUACAGAAAGGGGAGAAGAGGUUAGGCAGGAGCACAUUUUUAGGCUAUGAGGUUAGAGUGCUUCCAAGACACUGUGUAGGACUGAUUAGGCGCUCAGAAAUGCAAGCCAGAAGGUCAAGGCACAGGUGUGAGCCAAGGAGAAGAGUUCAGCUGUCAGCCACUGGGCGUGAUGGUCCAUGGCCUUAGUCCUGGCCCUUUAAUCCCAGAGGCAGGCAAGUCUCUGUGAGUUCAAGGCCAGACUUCUCUACAGGUGAGUCCAGGACAGCUGGGGCUACACAGAGAAACCCUGCCUCCAGAAAUAAAACAAAGAGUUCAAUUGUGUCAAGAGCUGUGGGCUGAUGGCAUUGGUAGUCUACAGCAAAGGGUGUGGUUGCUCUGGGUAGGGCAGAGGAGAAUGCACAGGACAAGAAUGGAACUUUGGAGGAAAACUAGAGGGUAAGAGAAGGCAGUGUAUGAAAGAAGAAAGUCAGGGUGGAGAUAGAACAAAGAGAAGUGCACAGUGGAGAUGUUCCCACACAAGGAAAAGUAAGCGUGUCAGGUGACAUUUGGUAAAUAUUUUGAAUUCUAAAAAUAAAUUGAGACAAUUCAAAGGCUGUCAAUUCUUCAGCCUGUAGCUGUUUGCUGGAGGUAAAGGAAGGAGAAGCCAGACCAAGGUGGAUUGCAAAGAAGAAUGGAGUAGCCAGUAUGUUGGCAUAAACCUUCAGUUCAAUCCUCAGGAGAGGCAGGCAGAUUAUCUGUGAGUGAGCUCCAGCCCAGCCCGGUCUACAUGGCGAAUUCCAGGAGAUCCAGGGUUACAUACUAAGACCGCAUGUCCUAUAACAACAAAACAGAAAGAGAAGAAGGGAAAGAAAAGACAGAAGAAGGCAUCAAGGCUCCAAGGAGGUGUAAAGCUCUGAAAUAAGGGAUAAAGGACAGCCUAAGACAGGGUGGAGGACAGCCUAGACCGGAUGGAGGAGGACAGCCAUCUCCCUCCUCCUCCUCUGUUCUCUCCCCUAAUUCUUGACCCCUCUCCUCCUCAUCUUUUUUUUCCUCUUCCUCUGUCCUCCUCUGUCUCCAUCUCUCUAAUUGUACUCAAUCAUUUCAGACUAAAGAAAGAAGGAGGAGCCCUCCAUUGGGCUCUGGUUUGGCAUGUCAUAAGUGUCUGCUCUUGCCCUGUGAGUUUCUCUGCACGCUCAGGCACACACGCUGACACAGGAGACCCGACUCUGUGACAAGGCACUGCAGAGGAGUCCACUGACAGAGCGAAGUAUGCAGAGCCAUGCCCUCUAGAGAGCCAGAGAAGACCGAAGCGUCCUUGUCUCAGUGUGGAAGGACGUGAUUUUCACUUUGUGAGGCUCCCUUGAGAGCCAAGCAACACCAACAUCACCUCAGGUGGUUUCAGACUACACAGUGAUGAGAAGAGCAGGGAAGGAGCCCACUUCUACACUGGCGGAGGAGGAAAUGUCUCUUCCACGUGUCCACGGUUCAGCUGUGUUGGAAAGAGCUGGCUGGUGGUGGAGGGUCUGAAUCAGUUUAGAGUGGAAGGAGAGCACGCCACGAGUGCGUCACUCAGAACUCAGCGAGCUCCGCCUUGAGGAGGCUCAGACCCCAAGAACUGGGGAGUCCCGCACCCCAGCUCUAGCCCGUGCUCUCCAGUCUGGGGCUGCGGGACCUCUGCUGGAGGUGGUGACCUCUGCAGCAUGUCCUUGGAUCUUUUCCUCCAAUUGCCAGUUUAAGUCUGAAGAAAGGCAGGAAUCUACCAACUCCAGCUUUGUGCCUGGCGCUCCAAAGGAUCGUCUCUCAGAGUUUGACCAGCUGUUGAGGGGAAGUUUCAGAGCACGCAGAAAAGCAUGUCCUGAUGAGCUGCUCAGCAGCAGGCCACAGCUUCCGGUGCUCUCUGCACAGGACAGCUCCUCACAUGCACACAGUGUGCUCAGGGUUAGGGGCUGGCUCUCCUCAGGGCUGUCACUGUGUGUGUGUGUGUGUGUGUGUGUGUGCGUGCACACGUGUGGAAGCUAAGGUCAUCCUUGGGGAUUGUUCCCCAAGGGCCAUCCACCCUGUUUUCUGGGAGCCUCUGGUCUCCCUGGGACCCGGGAGGCGGGCAGGCUAGUGAGCCCACAUAAGAAGCCUCCCUGGCCUCCCUGGCCAUGAACGAGGGCUGUUUAUGUGGGUGUUAGGAUCAAACUCUCCCUUUCCGCCUGAGAAACACUUCUCCCUAACCUAGGAAGUCUCCCCAGUGUGCAGACCCUGGCGCAGGGCUUUUGACUGAGGGCCAAGGGUUGUGAUGACAGGACGGAGUUAAACAAAGAACCUGUGUGCUUUCUGUCUCUCUUCCUCCGGAGCUGUAAGUUUCUUAGUUGUUUUUGUUAUUGACUAAGGCCCAAGUAAUUGACUCAUCUGAUCUGCAGGGGAAGAUGGACAAGUAAUUAAAUGGGAAAAUCCGUGUAAAAGAAACCUUUGCAAAUAAUUGGGAAAUUCUAAGAUACCAUCAAGCACUUUUUCAACAAAAUCAACCUUCCUAAAGACAUACACAUUUCUGCAAGAUUCUUGCCAGAGGCAUAACAGAACUCCUGCCCCAGUCAGCUCCUGGGAGUGGCCCAGCACGCUAGAGACAGAAGAGAGGACAGCGUUCUCUUCUCUGCCGUCUUCCAAGUAGAAGUGUCUUCAGCUCCUCUGUGGACCUUGCCUGGUCUUCACAAGGCGGAGACCCAGGUCAAACAGAACCUACCUGAUUUCCCACAGUUCAACGCCCACAAAAUCCUCUCCACAGCUCCAGUCUGUGAAGCACUCCAGGUGAAAGCCACUGCGUUCAUCCUGCCUCGUACUGGCAGGUGUGGCUGAGCGAACACUGUCCAGGUGUUUCCAGCGAAAAUGAUAGUUACUGUGUUUGCAUCGCAGGAGCUGGCGAGCCUCUCCUGGUUGCCAGCACCGUGGACACUUGAAAAGCCUCGAAAGUUUAUUUCAAGUGAACAGAACUGGGGACAAUCCGUGUUUCUUUCACUCUGCUCCCAGGGGAGCUGUAAGUGCAGUCGGGGCUGAAGAGCGAGCUCUAGCGGCAGCCCUGCUCUCUCUUUGUUCCGUGCACUUAACUCAGGUGUUAGCAAGGCUUUACCCUAUUUUCUUCAGAGUUUAAUUUCCUUUGUGAUUAUUACUUUUAUUUAAUGGCGGGAUAAAAGUAUCCCACGGACUGAAAACAAAUUACAGCCCCCCUUAACAGAAGCAUUGAGAAGUUCUCUAUUAGUUAGCCUUGAGGUUGAGAUGGUGAGGUUGAGAUUGAAAGUUAAAAUUAUUUCAGAUAAAAAGUGCAACGAGGAAACACUUACAUUAGCAAAUGUAAGGAAACGCAGGGCCCUGUCCACAGCCUCAGUGUGUUCUCAUCAAAGGCCCCAGCUUGUAACGGACUAGGAGUGAGGACAGUGUGUGUGUCCACAGUGGCUCUCCAUGUCUUCAGAUGGGGCCUCCCAGAGGUGGCACGAGGUGCCUGCCAGCGUCGCCUACCAUUCCUAAUGGCUCCCCAGAGAACUGGCAGGAUCCUGGCCGCAUUCGGAAGGAAGGCCUCCCAGCCUCACCCGAGGACCACCGUGAACUUCACAGCAAGGCAGAGGGCGAUGGGAAUCCAUCUAAGUGCUAAAUUCGCAAAGAUGUUUUCAUUUCAUGUUUACUAUCCCGCUAUUAGUGUGUGUUUGCUUCUGACACUUCGUUCAUUUUAUAACCCGAUAGCGAAAGGGUUCGAUUUAAUAGUCAUUUCUUAGUCAAGGUGUUGAAAUGCUUGAAAUGUUUGCUUCUUAAACAAGACAGCUUUCUUUCUUUUUAAUCACUUACCUGUUUGUUCAGAAAGCAGCACACAUAUUUUCUGAAACUGGGCUUUGGAAACAGAACACAUUCAUCGGAUCCUCAUAGAUGUGCUUUGAUGUUAUUCAGACCUCUACAUCAUUUGAGCACCUGCACAGACUCAGAGCUCUCUGGACUAAUGAAAUCACUGAGUCUCCUACUUCACAGCUGCGUGCAGUCAGAGCAGCCUUUUCUAGUUUCUCAGAGGGAGGGAAUGGGGUCCAUUUCAAACCGUAAUGUAAAAUAAAGUGUAUUAUACUGGGAACAAUA